UCUCUCCUUCUCCAGCGUCCAGCAGGGCAUGGCAGCUGCACUGUGUUCAGGCCUUCUGGAUGACCUUCUGAAAAACAGCACCUGUCUUCCUCGCCAGGAUCUGCUGCUGGGCACUGGUUAUUUACUUAAGAAAGGAUCUGUGAACUGGCAGAAGUACGAUGGAGGCCACCUACUUUAAGUUGGUUGUUUGCACUCCUGUAUGUCCCCUCCAUCCUGCUGUUAAAGCCAGUCUGACCCCCUCCAGCACGUCAUCUCGCCUGAGAGCUGAAGUUAAGGGAAUGUAACGUCACCAAACGGAUGUGGCCUCAGCAAGUAACUUCAUAGCUGUGAGCUUUGGUUUGCUUUUUAGUGACAUGGAAAGGCCUGUAUGGUGAAAGUUUUCACUCAUUGCUUUGCCUAAGUCUUCUCAUUUUCACUUACUUCUUCCCAGUUUAUCCAGCUUUUCACAUAAAAGGAAAAUAAUAAAGCCAAAAUCCAAAACAUACAUAUUUUUCAGGGACACACCCUCAUGUACCAAUUGUGCAUAUAUCACUUCUUCCUGCUUAAAAAUGGAGAUUUCUUUUGAAGGGUUAUGUUUGAUUUUGAGCCAGAGUUUUCAGUAUGAAGAAGCUCUUUUUGGGCUUUUAGGACUUCAGGUAAUGCACAAAUUCUCAGGUGUCUCUCGCAGUCAGUGUUCUGCUGUAAAUCAGUGCAAGUCUCGGAUCUAGUUCAUGUCUGACCUUGUUUGGGCUCUGCAUAGUUUAGAACUUAGUCAUUUGCGUGGAGGAGAGAAAUGAAUCAUAUUGUUUAUUGUCAUAAUUAACAUGUGUUAUUAAAUUUGCAAAUGGCCACUAAUUGCCCAUGUACAGGGUCUAAGUAUGAAAACUGAAGAUUUCAAGGAGAAACCAGGAUGGAGUCAGUAAAGGCCUGAGAAGCUCUGCACAGAGUACAUGGUGGACGGCUGUGUUGAUUCAUGGAAUGAAGCACUGGGUGAAGUGAUAUUGAAUAUAGCUCACUCUCGAUGGCGUGAAAUUUUGUAGGCUAAUCUGGGGAUUAAUCAUAAAAAUGACUGAAGUCAGGCAUAAGGAGCCUAAACACUGGUAGGUAAUUGGGAAAUAGGUUUUUCUCUUCCAAUACUCUUCAGGAGAGAAAGAGCAUGGCACCUGCCCAGUCUCUCUUUAGGACAAUAUUCCAUGCACCAUGUUGCUUCUAAGCAUUUCUUCACAAAAGGAAGAAAACCCCAGGAUAUUGUAUUAUGUGGCAAUAAUGAGAUGCAGAUAGUCAGGAAGGUCUUUAUUAACUUGCUUAAGGAGAGCUGCUGAGUGGCUUAGAGGAUAAAGGGCUGGAUUUCUCUUUAGAGCCCCCAGUGGGAGUUUAAUUUGCAAUCCAGUGUAGAGACACAAUAUACAAUAGCUGCUUGCUUUAGUGGGUUGAUAGUAUGAAAAAUAUUUACUGGUUAUGAAAGAGAAUCCACUUCUGAGAAGUCUGCCUUAUUUUCAGAAUUUCAGGUGCAAUAGAUCCUUUCCCCACUGACGGUGCAUUAUAGAGCAUCCCGGUUGUAAAGGCUUCUUUGUUGCAUUUGGUUAAUCUAAAAAAUGAUAACCUCUUUACGCUAGAUACGUAUCUCUGGUCUGACUGACAUGCUAGCUGCCGCAGAUUUACAGCUAAUAUGUUAAGGUAAUUUCUCAGGACAGUUCAUGCAAUUCAUAGGGUACCUUUUUGAUCAGAUUGAUCUAAAUAUUUAAUAGUCAUAACCUUCUGCUUGGUUUUGCUCCUCGGUUUCAAAGAAUAAUGAAGUGGCAUGACCUAGCGGGAACAGCAUAGUCACGAGAGCAAUGAGCUUUAUAUUUUCCCAACAAAUAUUUAUUGAGGGGCUGUGAGUAUAGCCCUGGCUUUAUUUAGUCAUGUUUCUCACUUUGCUGUUACCGAUGUCGGUUUCUACGUACACAUAAUUGAGAAAGGAAUGGAUUUUUGCCUGUUUAAAGAAAGUUGCUGUAGAGACAAACGAUGAAGACUUUUUGAUUGUCUGUCUUUCCCCUGUUCCAAUCAUGGUCGCUAUUGAGAAUCACUGCUGAUCAUCUGUCUGUACAGUUCUUAGCAUGGUUCCUGGUGCUAGGUGAGGGCCCACCACCCAUUUAAUUUCUGGUGGGUCUGGGGCAGGCAUCUGACACCCCACUUAUGAGGUUGAAGUCCACAUCCCCAGCAAGUCAUAUGUGUCCUACAAAAAAUAUGCUGGGCUACUCUGCAAGUGAGUACAAUUUCAGUGUGAAUUUCUUUUCAGUAAUUAGGAACUCAGUCCCAAGUAAAACUUUAAAGAGGCCAAGAAAAAGAGAAACGGAAAGUGAGGAGACACGAGUUUUGGAUGUGAGGAAUAAUCCUAGUCUAUCACGUGUGCUGUGCAUCCCUGGUACUGCAGAAGGUAUUUUAUGGCAGGAAAGAUCCUAAGAGUUAAUGCUGAAUUCCUAUGUGACAGAAGAGAAACAAUGGAGAUAAUUCAGAGCCUUGUCAUCAAGCUAACAAGGAGCUUCCAGAAAAUGCCGUGUGUGCACAUCUCCUGCAGCGGCUCCUCACUUUUCCCACGUCACUGACAUUUUGGGAGGAUCCGAUAAAGCUUAUGAAGCCUCUGCCCAAACAAGUGGCAUGUAUACCAUGGGGGCUCAUGGGCCACUUGGAGCUCAACUACGAAUCCACGAGUGGUUUAUGGCCCUCAGUAGAAGGGGCUGUCUGCAAGUGUUCCCUUGGAGAAAUUUGCAGAGUCACAUUGCUUGGUGGAAUGCUAGCCCAAGAAUUAUUUUGUUUGUGUCGUGAAAAAUGACGCCCUGGCUUCGAGAAUCAGGCUUUUGUCAUGAAUAGCAGCUUCAUGCUCGUGAAGACUGAAAUGGAUUGAUUGGUUUGAGUACUUAUUAAAAUGCCUUAAGAAUAAAUGUUUUUUUCUUCUUAAAGAACAUCUAUGAUAAAAUAUUUAUAAAUAUUUAAAUAU
This 2959-nucleotide long non-coding RNA is filed under the name Homo sapiens (human). RNAcentral describes it as "HSALNT0375166". The record is from RNAcentral. Lineage: Eukaryota; Metazoa; Chordata; Mammalia; Primates; Hominidae.